This 392-nucleotide ribosomal RNA is filed under the name uncultured bacterium. RNAcentral's name for it is "bacterial SSU rRNA". It matches the Rfam family "Bacterial small subunit ribosomal RNA", at positions 29 to 403 of the family's 1533-position model. The record is from RNAcentral.
AACGAACGCUGGCGGCGCGCCUAACACAUGCAAGUCGCGCGAGAAAGCGGGGGCAACUCCGUUAGUAAAGCGGCGCACGGGUGCGUAACACGUGGAUAAUCUGCCUUCGGGUCCAGGAUAACCUUCCGAAAGGAGGGCUAAUACUGGGUAAGCCCACGGGGACCUCGGUCCUUGAGGGAAAAGGUGGCCUCUGUAUACAAGCUAUCGCCUGGAGAUGAGUCCGCGGCCCAUCAGCUAGNGGCGGGGUAACGGCCCACCAAGGCUUUGACGGGUAGCUGGUCUGAGAGGACGAUCAGCCACACUGGAACUGAGACACGGUCCAGACUCCUACGGGAGGCAGCAGUGGGGAAUCUUGCACAAUGGGCGAAAGCCUGAUGCAGCGACGCCGCGUG